This 2079-nucleotide long non-coding RNA is filed under the name Taeniopygia guttata (zebra finch). RNAcentral describes it as "lncRNA (ENSTGUG00000021696.1)". Lineage: Eukaryota; Metazoa; Chordata; Aves; Passeriformes; Estrildidae. The record is from RNAcentral.
CCAAAAUCAGCGGGAAUGUAAAGAUCCCGGUAGCGGCAAAGCUCCGGGGUUUUAUCGGUGAUUUUAUCGAUUAUUGAUUGAUUUUAUUUUUAUUUAUCCCGAGCCUUUUCAGCCUCCCCAAAAAAGGGCUGGAAAUUCCCUCUCCAUGAAAUUCCCUCUCCAUGAAAAUCCUUCUUCAUGAAAUUCCCUCUCCCUGAAAUUCCCUCAUCUCCCCAGUUAAUUUAAUUAAACUGGGAUCAGGGAAUUGUCCCUUCCCGCAGCCCGGCUCGUAUCCAGGGAUUUGAACUCUGCUGCUGCCAGAUCCACGCCGGCCCUGCUGCUCCAGUCGGGAAUUCUGCCAGGAACGCUGCCGGGAAUUCUGCCAGGAGCGCUUUCCCCUCGGGAAUUCUGCCGCUCCCUCGGGAUGCGCCGCCGCUUCUCCUUCUCCUCGCCGCUCCGGUGCGGCCGCGGGCGAUCCCAAAUCCCGGAUUUGGGGCCGCGGAGCCGCUCCCAGGAAUUCCAGCCGGGAAGAACCGGGAGUUCCAAUUCCUGCAGGAAUUCCAGCCGGGAAGAGCCGAGGAUGGCCCGGACCUGCCGCGAUUCCCACUUUUAUUCCUACGGCAUCAAAUUCGCGCUCUCUGCCUACGCCAUGCUCUUCUCAGUAUGUUUUUCCCUGAUUUUUCCCUGUUUUUUCCCUAUUUUCCCCUAUUUUUUCCCCUAUUUUCCGCCAUUUUCUGGAAAAUUGGAUCCGGGGUCAUCUCCAUGUCUGAGGGAUCCCUGGGAGGGAAUUCCAUGGAUUCCAAGUCCAAACCAUGUCUGGGAGGUCUUAAGGAGGGAAUUCCAUGGAUCCAGGGUCACCUCCAUGGUUUGGGAGUUCCAUGGAUCUGGAGUAAUCUCCAUGGUUUGGAAAUUCCAUGGAGGGAAUUCCACGGUAUUUUCCCUCCCGAGGUCCAUCCCGGGAUGCGAAUUCCCAAGGGAAAGAGAAUUCCCAAGGAAAGGAGAAUUCCCAAGGAAAGGAGAAUUCUCAGGAGCAGAGCCUCCCCCUUCCAGGGCAGCUGUUUUUUUGGGAAUGGGGCAAUGAAAAGCCGGGAAUUGUGAGGACAGGAAGAGGAGGCAGCAAUCAGAGCCCUUGGGGGGUUGGGAAUUGGCCCUUCCAGGAGAAUUCCCGGGAACAAAAGUGAGGAGGGAAAGAGGCCCUGGAGGAGCUCCUGGAGCUGAGCUGGGCCUGGCAGCUGCAGCUUUUGGGAUUUUCAUGGAAAAACAGGGAAAUUGUGUUUGAAGGUAUCUGGGAUUGUGGUUUAAAGAGUUUGGGAUUGUCUUUAAAAGGAUCUGGGAUUUGUGUUUUAAAGAAUUUGGGAUUUGUGUUUUAAAGGAUCCGGGUUUGGAUUUAAAGGGAUUGGUAUUUGGAUUUAAAAGGAUCUGGGAUCUGUGUUUUAAAGGAUCUGGGAUCCUGAUCUUUAAAAGGAUCAGGAUUUGGAUUUAAAAGGAUCCAGGUCCGUGUUUAAAAGUAUCUGAAUUUGUGUCAAAAAAAAUCUGGGAUGGUGUUUAAACCUGGAUUUGCAUUCCAAAGGGUCUGGGAUUGGUGUUUAAACCUGGACUUGUGUUUUAAAGGAUCUGGAAUUUGUGUUUUACCCUGGAUUUUUGUCCAAAGGAUCUGGGAUUGUGUUUAACCCUGGGUUUGCAUUCCAAAGGAUCUGGAAUUGGUGCAGCCCGGGAUUUGUGUUCUAAAGGAUCUGGGAUUGGUGUUUAAACCUGGAUUUAUGUUCUAAAGGAUCUGGGAUUGGUGUUUAAACCUGGAUUUUUGUUGAAAGGAUCUGGGAUAGGUGUUUAAACCUGGAUUUGUGUUCUAAAGGAUCUGGGAUUGGUGUUUAAACCUGGAUUUGUGUUCCAAAGGAUCUGGGAUUGGUGUUUAACCCUGGAUUUUUGUUGAAAUGAUCUGGGAUUGGUGUUCAGUAGGAGCUGGGCUGGUUUCUCCCCUGGUUUCUUCCCGGAGCAGUGGAAUUCCCGCUGGAAUUGCGAUGAUUUGUGCCCGCUCAGAUGGAGCUGACAGCUCCAUCCAUCUCCCGCCUCCGCUCCCGUUUAUCCGCAGGAACGGCCGCU